GUCUACGGCCAUACCACCCUGAACGCGCCCGAUCUCGUCUGAUCUCGGAAGCUAAGCAGGGUCGGGCCUGGUUAGUACUUGGAUGGGAGAGUAGCUGGACCCAGGGACU
This 109-nucleotide ribosomal RNA is filed under the name Chinchilla lanigera (long-tailed chinchilla). Lineage: Eukaryota; Metazoa; Chordata; Mammalia; Rodentia; Chinchillidae. The record is from RNAcentral.